RNAcentral lists this microRNA precursor (189 nucleotides) under Oryza nivara. Its description in RNAcentral is "MIR812 microRNA precursor family". It matches the Rfam family "MIR812 microRNA precursor family". Lineage: Eukaryota; Viridiplantae; Streptophyta; Magnoliopsida; Poales; Poaceae. The record is from Rfam by way of RNAcentral.
AAUAGAUGACACCAUUGACUUUUUCUCACAUGUUUGACCAUUCGUUUUAUUCAAAAAAUUUACGUAAUUAUAAUUUAUUUUGUUAUGAGUAGUACUUUAAGUGUCAUUUAUAUCUUCUACAUUUGCAUAAAAUUUUUGAAUAAGACGAAUGGUCAAACAUGUGAGAAAAAGUCAACGGCGUCAUCUAUU